RNAcentral lists this ribosomal RNA (497 nucleotides) under uncultured bacterium. RNAcentral's name for it is "partial 16S ribosomal RNA". It matches the Rfam family "Bacterial small subunit ribosomal RNA", at positions 28 to 507 of the family's 1533-position model. The record is from RNAcentral.
GAUGAACGCUGGCGGCGUGCCUAAUACAUGCAAGUCGAGCGAACGGACGAGAAGCUUGCUUCUCUGAUGUUAGCGGCGGACGGGUGAGUAACACGUGGAUAACCUACCUAUAAGACUGGGAUAACUUCGGGAAACCGUAGCUAAUACCGGAUAAUAUUUUGAACCGCAUGGUUCAAAAGUGAAAGACGGUCUUGCUGUCACUUAUAGAUGGAUCCGCGCUGCAUUAGCUAGUUGGUAAGGUAACGGCUUACCAAGGCAACGAUGCAUAGCCGACCUGAGAGGGUGAUCGGCCACACUGGAACUGAGACACGGUCCAGACUCCUACGGGAGGCAGCAGUAGGGAAUCUUCCGUAAUGGGCGAAAGCCUGACGGAGCAACGCCGCGUGAGUGAUGAAGGUCUUCGGAUCGUAAAACUCUGUUAUUAGGGAAGAACAUAUGUGUAAGUAACUGUGCACAUCUUGACGGUACCUAAUCAGAAAGCCACGGCUAACUACGUG